UGGAAGUGCGGGCUGCGAGGUUGGGGACGCCGGCGCCGGCGGUUGGGCGCCGUCGCGGCGUGAGAGAGAGAGAGAGAGACGGCUAGGGUUUGGGGCUCUCGUCUCCUGAGGGAGACGACAACAGAAUAUACUGUUUAUUGUCUGAUUAAUAUCGAAGGGGUACAUGUGUUUAUAAAGGAGGACAACCUCCACUAAACCCUAGAUAACUUGGACUCUAACUUGGACUCUAAUAUAACUUGGACUCUAAUAUAACUUGGACUUCUAAGAUAGGUAAGAUAACUUGGGCUAAGCCCGUAAUUAACCCUGCCCAUUGGGCCUCCUCCGUUGGUACGUUGUACCGGUCAUAACAUCUCUCUCCGCCUUCUCAAACAGCUCGUCCUCGAGCUGAACAUCUGGAAACUGCUGGCGGAAAUCGUCGAGCUUCUCCCAAGUCGCUUCCUCCUCUGGCAGGCCGGUCCAUUGUACCAAGACAUGCCAGACGCCGCGACGCUGCUGCGCCUGUAGCACCUUCGCCACCUGUGCGGAAGCUGGAAGGAGGCGGCCAUCCGAAGUAGUAGGAAGGGCCGGUGUCGCUGCAGGAGGGUCCCCACGGUAGGCCUUCAGUAAGCCGACAUGGAAGACGUCGUGGAGGCGAGAACCAGCUGGCAGCUCCAAGCGGUAUGCGAGUGUGCCGACAUGCUCCAGCACACGAAAGGGACAGGCAUAGCGAGGUCCCAAUUUGCGCUUGGAGCGCGGGUCCAGAGACUGCGUGGUCCUGUGGAGGAGGCGCAUCCACACCCAAUCGCCCACCGCGAACUCCGCCUCGCGAUGAUGAGCAUCGUAGUACUUCCGAGCCAGCUGCUGUGCUUGGAGAAGACGCUGGCGUGCCUCAGCCAGAAUGUCGUCGCGGGUGCGGAGUAAGUCGCCCGCCGUCUCGGACCGAGCCGUCCCAGGCUCGUAAGGGAGCAUCGCCGGAGGUGGGCGCCCGUAGACCACCUCGAAAGGCGUGGUGCGCAGGGCGGAGUGAUAGGAGGUGUUGUAGCAGUACUCCGCCCACGCCAACCAGUCCACCCAAGCUCGUGGACGAUCACCAGUAACACAGCGCAGGUACAUGGCGAUCACCUUGUUGACCACCUCGGAUUGGCCGUCUGUCUGAGGGUGGAACGCCGUGCUCAUGCGGAGCUUCACGCCCGCCAGUCGAAAGAGAUCCCGCCAGACAUGUCCCGUGAACACGGGAUCACGAUCGCUGACGAUGGACGAGGAAAACCGUGGAGGCGGACGAUGCCGUCGAAGAAGGCCCGCGCCACGGAGGCGGCUGUAUAUGGAUGACCCAGGGCGAUGAAGUGCGCGUACUUGGAGAAGCGGUCAACCACCGUGAGGAUGACGGAUUUGCCGCCCACCUUGGGAAGGCCCUCGAUGAAGUCCAUGGAAAUAUCCGCCCACACCUGGGAGGGUACGUCCAGCGGCUGCAGUAGACCCGCGGGUCGUAGUGUCUCCGUCUUGUUCCGCUGGCACGUCAGGCACGACCGCACCCAGUCGCGGACCAUCGCGCCAUCACCGGGGAUGUAAAAAUCAGCACGGAGACGAUGGAGAGUCUUUUGCACGCCCUCGUGCCCUGCAGAGUGCGCCAAGGUCAGGACCUGAUGGCGCAGGUCGCCAUGGUCGGGCACGAAGAUGCGGCGGCCAUGUAGGAGUAGCCCCUCGUCCAAGCGCCAGGGCGCGUCCAGCUCGCCGACGUCAAGGCGCUGGCGCAGGCCCUGGGCGUCCACGGCCGUCGAAGUUGCCCGGCGGAUGUCGUUGAUGAAGGCGAAAGAUGGCCCGGAGCGAAUGCACAUGAUAGUGCCAGCCAUGGCGACGUCGUCCGCGACAUCCUCAGUGUCGCGGCGGGACAAGGCGUCGACGACCGUGUUGAGACGGCCGGGGCGGUACUCAACAGUGAAGUUGAAGCCAAAGAGCUUGCUGAUCCACUGGUGUUGCGGAACUGUGGAGAGGCGCUGGUCCAGCAAGAACUUGAGGCUGUAGUGGUCCGUGCGCACACGGAAUGACCGGCCCCAAAGAUAAGGCCGCCAGUGGCGCACCACCUGAACCAGCCCAAUAAGCUCGCGCUCAUAGGCCGCGAGCUUGUGAUGGCGAGCGGCGAAGGGGCGGCUGAAGAAGGCGAGCGAUCCCUCGCCCUGGUGAAGGACGGCGCCGAAGCCGAUGCCAGAGGCGUCGAAGUCCACGAUGAACGGCAUAUCAAAGUCCGGCAUCUGGAGGACGGGUCCCGUCGUGAGCGCCUGCUGGAGAGCCUCGAAUGCCGUAGUCGCCUCCUCGUCCCAGGAGAAGGCGUCGCGUCGAAGGAGACGCGUCAGUGGCGCGACGAUGAGGCCGAAGUCCCGGAUGUACUUCCGGUAGUAGCCGGCGAGGCCCAAGAAGCCGCGGAGCGCCCGCGAUGACCGUGGGAUCGGCCACGCGGCGACGGCGGCGACCUUGUCCGCGUCCAUCGCUACCCCGUCCGCCGAGAUGACGUGCCCCAGGUACGCGACGGAGGUCGUGCCGAACGAGCACUUCGAGCGCUUGAGGUGAAGACGAUGCGCUCGAAGCUCGUUGAAGAUGAUGGCCACAUGUUGUAGAUGCUCCGCCCAAGAUGCACUGUAGAUGAGAAUGUCAUCAAAGAAAACAAGCACAAAGCGGCGCAAGUAUGGGCUGAGCACGUCGUUCAUCAGGGCCUGGAAGGUCGCCGGCGCGUUGGAGAGGCCGAACGGCAUCACCAGGAACUCGAAGUGGCCAUGGUGAGUGCGGAACGCCGUCUUCUUGAUGUCGUCAGGGUGCAUGCGCACCUGAUGGUAGCCCGAGCGAAGGUCGAGCUUGGUGAAGAAGCGUGCUCCGUGUAGCUCGUCCAAGAGCUCAUCCACGACGGGGAUGGGGAACUUGUCCUUGGACGUCAGGGCGUUGAGGGCGCGGUAGUCGAUGCAGAAGCGCCAUGUGCCGUCGGACUUGCGCACAAGGAGCACCGGGGCGGAGAACGGCGAUGUCGAAAUCCGGAUGAUGCCCUGCGCGAGCAUGACCGCCACCUGACGCUCGAGCUCGUCUUUCUGCAGCUGAGGGUACCGGUACGGACGCACGGCUACAGGUGCCGUGUCCGGCAGCAGGUGGAUGCGGUGGUCACAGGGCCGCACGGGAGGGAGGCCCUGUGGCUCGUCGAAGAUGUCGCUGUGCUGCUGCAGGAGGUCGGCCAGGAGGGGAUGCGCCUCGUCCAGUGCGGACGCCAUCAACUGGAGCUGUGGAGUCACGGCGCCGGAGCCGCCGAUGCAUGUCCACUGAACGCGACGGCCGCCCUCGCGCCAGAAGAUGAGGGACAGCACAUCGAGGUCCCAAAGGAUGGGGCCGAGAGUGGACAGGAAGUCGAUGCCGAGGAUGAAGUCGUAGCAGCCCAGGUCGAUGCCGACGCAGUCGAUGGAGAACGGCUCGUCACCGAUGAGGACGGGAACCUGCCGCGCCACCCCCUGGCAAGCAAGGCGGUCCCCGUUGGCGACGGUGACGCUGAACUUCUCCGAGCCCGCCGGUUGGAGUGCGAGGCGGCGCAUGGCGUCCCCGGACAGGAAGUUGUGCGUCGAACCCGUGUCCACGAGCGCGGUUAGACGCUCCCUGUUGAUCGUCACCGGAAGCAGCAUCGUCUUUGCCGUCUUGAUGCCAGCCAUGGCAUGAAGGGAGACGACGAAGGCGGUCGCGUCGACCGGCCCGUAGGUCGUGACGCCGGCCUCGGAGAGUGUGGUGGCGUCGAGCUCCGUGGUGAGGGCCUCCACCUCCGCGUCGUCGACGGUCUCCAAGUAGAACAGGCGGGCGCACGUAUGACUCGGCGCAUACGGCUCGUCGCAGUUGAAGCACAGGCCCUUGCGGCGCCGCUCGAGCUGCUCGGCCGACGUCAAGCGCCGGAAGGUGCGUGUCGACGCGGGGGCAGCCGCCGUAGCAGCCGGCAGGGCGGGGCGUGUCGGGGUGGCGGCCGCCGGGGCGGGGCGGGUCGGGGAACGCGUGCCGCGGCCCGGGAACGCCUGCUGCAGGGCGUUGGCGCGCUGCUCGUACGCGCGUGCGUAAUACAUGGCCGUCUGCAGGUCCUGGGGGUCGUGCAUCUCGUCGUCGAUGCGGAUGUGGUCGGGAAGGCCGCCGACGAAGAGCUCGGCGCGUUGGCGAGCCGUGACGUCAGGCGCAUGGCAGGCCAACGUCUGGAGGCGGUCGGCGACGUCCUGCACCGAGGUGGUGAAGGGAAGGCGACCGAGCUCGGCCAAGCGGCUCCCACGUAUGGGGGGGCCGAACCGGAGGAGACACAGGUCGCGAAAGCGCUCCCAUGAAGGCAUCCCGCCCUCGUCCUGCUUGAGGGCGUAGUACCAAGUCUGGGCGGCGCCACGGAGGUGGUAGGAGGCGAUCCACGUGCGGUCGGACGCCAUGGUCCGCUGCCCCCUGAAAAACUGGCCGCACUGAUUGAGCCAGUUCCGGGGGUCGACGGUGCCGUCGUAGGUGGCGAACUCCAGCUUGGUGAAGCGGGGUGGCUGCUGCACGUGUGGCGAGGCCGCGUAGGUGCCCUCGUGACGGCCCAGCGCGGUGGAAGGAGAGUGUUGCGUCACCACGGAGCUCCCGGCAUACGGAUCAGUGUACCCGCCGAACCCCUCGAAGGUGGGGGCGGGUGGCUGCAACACCGUCGGCUGUAGUGGCGCCGUCGUGUAGGUCGGCGUGUCCAUCCACGUCGGUAGCGGGGACGGCGACGGCGGCCACCGGACCUGGGUGAUCGGCAGGCCCUGGGGCACGACAGUCGCCGGGGGCGGUGUCGCGAAGGGCGCCGCCGGCGGAGGCGGUGGUGGCGGGGUUGCGUACGGAGCCUGGAGGAGAGUCCGGAGGUUCGAGACCGCCAGGUUGAGGUCGUGGAUCGCCGAGGACAUCUCCGCCGGGGAGAGGACGGGAGCGGGUUCGGCCGCCAGGGCCGCGGGACCGGAGGCAGCCGGGCUUGAGGUGGCCGGCGGCGGCUGCUGCUGUGAGGUGGCGGGGAAGGCGGUGGUGGCGGCGGCGGUGGUGGUGGGAAGGUCCGACAAACUCAUCGAACCCAAGCUACCUGAUACCAAAUUGGUAGAGGCUAGGGUUCUACCAGGUCUCGGACGUAGGUUCUAGGGGUGGAAGUGCGGGCUGCGAGGUUGGGGACGCUGGCGCCGGCGGUUGGGCGCCAUCGCGGCGUGAGAGAGAGAGAGAGAGACGGCUAGGGUUUGGGAGGAGACGACAACAGAAUAUACUGUUUAUUGUCUGAUUAAUAUCGAAGGGGUACAUGUGUUUAUAAAGGAGGACAGCCUCCACUAAACCCUAGAUAACUUGGACUCUAAUAUAACUUGGACUUCUAAGAUAGGUAAGAUAACUUGGGCUAAGCCCGUAAUUAACCCUGCCCAUUGGGCCUCCUCCGUUGGUACGUUGUACCGGUCAACCGGUCAUAACAGUGCAUGCCAUGAUGAUUCGACAUUGGGUCUUCAUAGGAAAAAAUGAAGGGGACCUCAAAAUUGCCCAACGACCCUUGAGCCUUCCAAAGGCCCUUUCUAUAAUAUUUUGGGCUCUAGCAUGGCGCAUGUUGAAAUACUCCUCUGCACUACGAGGUGGGUUUUGUGGUGUCCAACCACUCAAGUGGUAUCUUUGACCUCGGUAUGGAGCUAGAAAUCCUCUUGCGUUUGUGUAGCCAGCAUGGACAAGGUAAUAUUGGUCUUCGGGGACACUUAACCCAUUUGGCCUUGAGAUGGCAUCCCUAAGAACACGGCAAUCGUGUGUAGAACCCUCCCAACCAGGUAAUAUGUAGAUGAACUGCAUGUCAGGUGCACAUACACCUAACACAUUUGUAUCUAUAUCACCCAACCUUGAUCUAUAUCUUUCUUUCAGAUUAGCUGGGACAGUUACGUCUAUGUGUGUGCCGUCUAACACUCCAAGGCAAUUCUAGAAUAUAAACAACAAUGUGAAAAUAUUAGCAUCUUUUACCACUAUUGAGAUCGUCUGGUGAAUAAUAUUAUUUCUUAGUAGUUAUUUACCUUGAAAUACUUCCAUUUAUCAUUCGUGCAAUCCUCGAGUAUAGGUUCAGGUUUCUUAAGUAGCAGACGGUGCAGCUUGAGGACAGCUAGAAGACAAGCAUUGAAGUUUCUACUAACCGGCUCCGGGCUUCGAUAGAAGAAUUUUCCUACUGUCCUAUUUUCCUAUUUUUAAGAUGGUGUGAUAAUACAUACAAGAACGAUGCCACUAUCUCCUCUAAAGAUGUGUUCCUCGUACCCUUUAGACCACUAACAUCUCUCACCAUCUCACAUAAUAUAUGAAAUGUUCUCCUAUCCAUACGAAAUUGACUUAUACACAUAGCAUCGCUCUCAUCAAUUAGCCGGUACAAGUUCUCUCCCCUUAACUCUCUAAUUUUAAUUUUCCUUUCUAUUUGCCAACAUUUUCUCUUAUAAGCUAAUGCAAACAUGAACCACACAUAAUAAUAUACAAGCAUAAUGGAAGUGGUCAAAUUCAAAAAUGUUGCGUUUCUCCUUCCACUCCUCGCACUUAAGGGAAGACGAGCCAUAACUGAAAAGUAGAAUACGAUAUAUAAGCAUAAGGAAAAUAUGCCUAAUUAAGGUGCAAUUAGUCAUGCAAUGGUGCACUAGAUCCAAAUAAACUUGCACAUUAGAAGCCUAAUUAAGUCAUAUACAACUAACAACAUAAAGAGUAGAAGAAGCAAUCAGUCAAUCAAUCAAUCUCAGUCUCAAUCUGGUUUAUAUUAAAGCUGAUGCAUAAUUGGAAGCCGCCUAGGUUGUAUAUAUAUGCGCAUGCGGUGUUGUAGAAUCAUUUUGCCGUCCCGAUAAUCAAACUAUGGUGGAGUGCGUAUUCAACUACACAUCACUUCAUAAGUAAAUGGUGACCAAGCCAAGUCUUUUGCGCGAGAAUGCAUUAAUUUCCAUUAAAAACUGGAAACAAUAUAAAUACGUCAAUUAAAGAUGAGCAGGAGCAGAGUCUGAUGAAUAUUUUGCUUUGUCUGCUGCACCGUGCAUAGCGUGUAGUUUCAGGUUCCGUUGAAACUGCACCCUGUCAUCGUCGCCUCCUUCUCAUGCAAUUUGUGAUGUGCAAUUGACAUACUAACAGGUCAAGCUACGGAUUGAUCUGAUGUGCUUCUACACAAAUUGUGACAUAGUAAAAGGUCUACCAAAUCUACAGGAAGCAAUGAGAGAGCUGCAAAUAUAUGCUACACAUCGCCCAUCACAAAUAACUAAUGGA
This 7224-nucleotide long non-coding RNA is filed under the name Hordeum vulgare. Its description in RNAcentral is "long non-coding RNA (HVUL_LNC010072)". Lineage: Eukaryota; Viridiplantae; Streptophyta; Magnoliopsida; Poales; Poaceae. The record is from RNAcentral.